UCUAAGGAUCAUGGCGGUAGGAAUAGGUCACGCUUUCCUCCUCCUGUCCAAAGAACAUUGCCGCCGUCCUCAUGUCCCUUCAUCCUGGAAACGCUUCUCGUUAAGAGGAGUGCAGCCUGAGCUGGCUCACGCCGCCCGCGGCCUUAUGGCCGGCGACGGCACUGGGGGCCGGUAGCUCAGGUGGUUAGAGCGCACGCCUGAUAAGCGUGAGGUCGAAGGUUCAACUCCUUCUCGGCCCACCACUGCAGCACCGCUAAGUUCACGAAGUGGACGAAGUGGAAGGACCCCCGAUUUCACUCGGCGUGGGGCCAUAGCUCAGUUGGGAGAGCGCUAGCUUUGCAAGCUUGAGGUCGUCGGUUCGAUCCCGACUGGCUCCACCACUUUCCAGGGAUGAAGACACGAAAUCCGCGGGUUCGCCUGCGGUAGAGGCCUCGGCCUCAUCUUUGACAUUGUGAAUGGGUUCUAGAAAUCGAUGCCGUGGUUGGCGAUCGACGUAAGUCGGUCGAUCAAAUCACAACAAUGAUUAUCUAGCUGAGAGAUCCAGGCGGCGCCGAGCCGUGCUGGAUCACGAGCACGGCCGGGUAUUAUGUACCGGUCGGAGCUCAAACCAGAUCACCGAUAUAUCGACGCCUGUCCAUGCAAGCAGGCCAAGACCUCUAACAGGGUUGUCGAUGGUGGUGUGGAUUCUCAAGCGUGAGGUAAGGGCAAUUGGUGGAUGCCUUGGCAUACACAGGCGAUGAAGGACGUGGCACGCUGCGAUAAGCUGCGGUGAGGUGUGAGCGACCUUUGACCCGCACAUUUCAGAAUCGGGAAACCCGGAAGCCGAAAUCGAGCACACUGCCGCUGGGUACGUAUGGGAUCGAGUCGUACACCUGGUUGCCA
This 882-nucleotide unclassified non-coding RNA is filed under the name uncultured Actinomycetes bacterium. Its description in RNAcentral is "uncultured actinobacterium partial contains 16S ribosomal RNA, 16S-23S ribosomal RNA intergenic spacer, and 23S ribosomal RNA". The stretch from base 166 to 239 matches the Rfam family "tRNA". The record is from RNAcentral. Lineage: Bacteria; Bacillati; Actinomycetota; Actinomycetes.